GAGUAACGCGUGGGUAACCUACCCUUGAAUCUGGGAUAACUCCGUGAAAACGGCGCUAAUACCGGAUAUCGUUCCGGAAACUUCGGUUUUCGGGAUGAAAGGUGACCUCUUCAUGAAAGUUGCCGUUCAGGGAUGGGCCCGCGUCCCAUUAGCUUGUUGGUGGGGUAAUGGCCUACCAAGGCUUCGAUGGGUAGCUGGUCUGAGAGGAUGAUCAGCCACACUGGAACUGACACACGGUCCAG
This 242-nucleotide ribosomal RNA is filed under the name uncultured bacterium. RNAcentral's name for it is "partial 16S ribosomal RNA". It matches the Rfam family "Bacterial small subunit ribosomal RNA", at positions 108 to 334 of the family's 1533-position model. The record is from RNAcentral.